Molecule: ribosomal RNA, 373 nt
Filed under: uncultured Glomeromycotina
Lineage: Eukaryota; Fungi; Glomeromycota
Description: LSU rRNA
Source: RNAcentral
UUGAAAGGGAAACGAUUGAAGUCAGUCGUACCAGCGGGAAUCAACCUUUCGGGUGGGAUUUUGGAGUUUUGAAGAGUGUUAAAACCUUUGAGAUUUCAAAAUGUUUGCUCUUUUGGUGUACUUUCUCGUGGGUAGGUUAACAUCGAUUUUGAUCAUCAUAAAAAGAUUGGAGGAAUGUAGCUUCGAUCUUGUAUUGAAGUGUUAUAGCCUUUGGUAAAUGUGAUGAUUAGGAUCGAGGAUUGCAACGAAUACCCUUUUGGGCUAUCCGCCUGAUCUCUGAUACGUGGCCUUGGUAUCGAAAGCUUGCUUAUGGUAUUGAGGUAUUACGGUCAAAAGGUUAGAACGGAUUACAUUCGUUAAGGAUGUUGACGUA